Molecule: long non-coding RNA, 421 nt
Organism: Syngnathus acus (greater pipefish)
Lineage: Eukaryota; Metazoa; Chordata; Actinopteri; Syngnathiformes; Syngnathidae
Exons: 3
Source: RefSeq, a predicted model, not a curated record
GCUUGUUUUUCUUCAUGCCGUUUCAGCUCAAGCAUCUGUGGUGGGAUUCAAGAAGGAAAACAUCAGUGUCUCGACUGGGUGUUUGGAACGGUCACCGUGAUAUCAUCCCUAAUGGAUUGAAUCUUUCGAGCGAAAAAUUUCAUGAAAUCAUCAGCUGAGUGGGAGGAACUAUCGGAAGGUGCUUGCCAAGGAGAUGAAUUUAAAAUAAUUUCAAGGAGGACCUUCUUGGUGUUAUUGCUUUAUGCAACGCAAUCGCUUCUCUAUCAGAGCAAUGACAUCGAUGCCCCAAAAACUCCCAGCAGACUUCCAAGUAAAGAUCGACCGUUUCCGUGAGUUCAUUGAGAAGCAUGUAAGUGAGCACAAUGUGACACCGAUCAUAUUAUUAACAUGGACGAGAUCCCCCUCACGUUUUACAUUCCCA